UCCAGUUCCAAAAUAAAUUUAAAACUUGUCUUACAGUAACACAAGUUGAUUUAGCACUUUCAAAUCGAUUCUACCGACAUUGUUGCAUUUAUCCCAAAAAGUCACAGAUUUGAAAAGAAAAAAAAAUUAUAUUCUCUUAUUCUUCUGAGUUUCCGGUAAAAAGUGCUUGUAGCUUAUGACGUACGUAUACGUACAAUACUUACGUUAAUUUUUGACUGUAUCCCCGUAUUCCAAAAACAUAUUAACUUUUUACCAUAAUAAAACACUUUAAACAAAAAAAUUCUAAUCUUUGAAUCUCAGAAGAAACUCUCCCUUGAAUUUUAUUCAUUUUUUUUUAUAUACUAAUCUGUUUUUUUUCCACUGCAUGAGCCUGUCGAGAGUUUCUUCUGCAUUUCUAAUCUUACCGACUUGACAAUUAAUGAAUGAAUGAAUAGAAGCAAAGCCACCUAAGAAAUAUUUUGUUUUUAUAAAAUGUGUUUACUUAUCUGUUUUUUCCUUCCUAUAUUGCAAAAAAAGUACCGGUUUUAAAAAGUUUUUGUUCCCACUGCUAAUCAGGUGACAAGGCAAAUAGUAUUUAUAAUGGUCACAGCAUUCUAGACACAAUUUUGAAAAAGUAAAUAAAAAAAAAACAAAAAAAGAUAAAAACCGUCCUAUCCUACGUACUAUCCUCCUGAAUCCAAAAAAUGAAAAAAAUAUAGGUUGUGCCAUUUGCAAUUCGAAAGUUACUGUAAGUUAAAGUGAUUUCCGCUCAGACCGGAAGUGCAACCAUUGACUACAUAUUGUCCAAAAAUUGGACAUUCACCAAAUUUCAAGUCGCAAUUUUAAGCCGUUUAAAAGUUAUAGUGUGCCCACUUUCUUGUGUCACCCGGCAUGUUUAUAAAUUUCACAUUUAUAAGAAAAAUAUGUUCUAGACAAUCGCUCCUCAAUUAAGAUGAGAAGGUUUGAUUCCAGAUUUUAGUGUAUCUCAAAUAUUGUUGAGAGUUUCAGGAAUAGGAACUUUAGUAAAGAGGAACUCUAAAUCAAAACUAAUUUUUUAAUUGAUCAAUGAAGUGAAAGGAAUUAAGUACGAAACUGUCAGUAUUCCCUGAAAAGGAUUUUAAUAUAGAAUCAAGAACUUUUGCUAGAGAAUAGGUUGGAGAACAAUGGCGCUAACAAUAGGCCGAAAGGAUAAAACCAUAUAUAAGUAGGUGCAUGCAAUGCAAACCAAUUUCCUCUACGCUCUGAAGAAGCUGACUGGAUAAUUGAGGAAACGUUAACAACUGACGCAGCAAGAAUCCCGAAGAACUGCAAAUAGUAUUACAGUAGCCUGUUCUAUUUCUUUGAACAAUUACCAGUGAAAAAUGGUUAAUAUUCAAAUACGCUAACAAAUUCGGACAGUUUGUAACGUUACAUACCAAUAUAUAAAAGAAGAUAACUGACAGUAGCACCAACGUUUAAGACUAUUUAUAUCAAAUCUGUCUAAAUACAAUACAUAAUUGAGACCUCUAGGUGGAUAUGCACCGUCAGCUUUGAACAGCAGCUGUAACUAAAAUGCUUGUGUCAUCUGGCUACAGUACAAAUAAUGCAUCUAUAUUAUCCUGAGGAAGAUCGUUAAUAAAACAAUUAAAGAGGAGCGGUGAUAAGCAGGAUCCUUGCGGGGUACCUCUGCCUACAUAUUGACAGCUAGAUUUUGAACCGCCGAUCACAACCUGCUGUACUCUCUCGGAGAGUAACCGUAGACCGGGAGUUAUAAAAGCCGUGCCGAGUUUGUGAGAUAGAGACAAGAUUGUGAUUGAAGCAUUGCUUACGUAACUUUUUUCACCACUCUCAAAAAUAGGACAAACUCUGAAUCCUUCCAAUAUCGAAGAUAAACUUCAGAAGAAAGCACUAGUUUAGAAAUAUAAAACGUUUUAUUUUAGUUAUCUUUAUUGUAGGACCAGACUCGAUUAGACUUAGCGAAAAAAAUGUCACACAAUUUCUUUGUAGAAACGUGCUGCAUGCAAUGAAAAUAGUUGCUAUUAUGCAUGUUGUUUCUUAAAUAUUUCACAGCACCUAACAUCCUUAUUUUAAAUGGAACGUCCGGUAAAUUGUUUCACAAUAGUCUUCAGUCAAUAGUAUAUGAAAUCCUGAACUUAUUUUUUGUAGCCCUUGGAUUCUAAGUUUGGUGGUGGUAUAAAAGAGCUAAUGUACUCUUGCCUCGUCUUUACUAAUUUAAAUUCAGACGAAUAACACAGGUUCAUUACGGGAAGAAUGUUAGAGCUUACUCAGAACAAAAAAUUUAUGAUAUAUUAUUGUCAUAUUUUGUUCACCUUCAUGUUGUAUUUUUUGUUUCUUGCGUUCCAUGUUUUGUGUCGUUUCUUUCAUUGACUAACUAAUAGUUAACACUAGAAUUUUUGCCUCUUGUCAAUUAUAUUUUAUUUCUGGAACGACAUUAAAAUUGAAAAUAUGAAAUAACAUAAAAGUCGUUUUAAAUAGGUAUGAAUGCAGAAUUAUUUUGCAUCUGGUCAUCCAAGAUGUGACAUUGAAAAAAGCAAAGUAAAGCAAUGCAAUUUCUUACCAAAAAUUGGACACCCCAUAUGA
This is a long non-coding RNA of Cylas formicarius (sweet potato weevil), 2559 nucleotides long. RefSeq lists it as uncharacterized. The record is from RefSeq and is a predicted model, not a curated record. NCBI's taxonomy places the organism in Eukaryota, Metazoa, Arthropoda, Insecta, Coleoptera, Brentidae. The transcript is spliced from 3 exons.